ACCAAACCGGCAGCAUACCAUGCAGUCGAGCGGGGUGAUGUAGCUUGCUACAUUACCUAGCGGCGGACGGGUGAGUAAUGCUUAGGAAUCUGCCUAUUAGUGGGGGACAACAUUCCGAAAGGAAUGCUAAUACCGCAUACGCCCUACGGGGGAAAGCAGGGGAUCUUCGGACCUUGCGCUAAUAGAUGAGCCUAAGUCAGAUUAGCUAGUUGGUGGGGUAAAGGCCUACCAAGGCGACGAUCUGUAGCGGGUCUGAGAGGAUGAUCCGCCACACUGGGACUGAGACACGGCCCAGACUCCUACGGGAGGCAGCAGUGGGGAAUAUUGGACAAUGGGCGAAAGCCUGAUCCAGCCAUGCCGCGUGUGUGAAGAAGGCCUUUUGGUUGUAAAGCACUUUAAGCGAGGAGGAGGCUACCGAGAUUAAUACUCUUGGAUAGUGGACGUUACUCGCAGAAUAAGCACCGGCUAACUCUGUGCCAGCAGCCGCGGUAAUACAGAGGGUGCGAGCGUUAAUCGGAUUUACUGGGCGUAAAGCGUGCGUAGGCGGCUUUUUAAGUCGGAUGUGAAAUCCCUGAGCUUAACUUAGGAAUUGCAUUCGAUACUGGGAAGCUAGAGUAUGGGAGAGGAUGGUAGAAUUCCAGGUGUAGCGGUGAAAUGCGUAGAGAUCUGGAGGAAUACCGAUGGCGAAGGCAGCCAUCUGGCCUAAUACUGACGCUGAGGUACGAAAGCAUGGGGAGCAAACAGGAUUAGAUACCCUGGUAGUCCAUGCCGUAAACGAUGUCUACUAGCCGUUGGGGCCUUUGAGGCUUUAGUGGCGCAGCUAACGCGAUAAGUAGACCGCCUGGGGAGUACGGUCGCAAGACUAAAACUCAAAUGAAUUGACGGGGGCCCGCACAAGCGGUGGAGCAUGUGGUUUAAUUCGAUGCAACGCGAGAACCUUACCUGGUCUUGACAUAGUAAGAACUUUCCAGAGAUGGAUUGGUGCCUUCGGGAACUUACAUACAGGUGCUGCAUGGC
This 1017-nucleotide ribosomal RNA is filed under the name Acinetobacter sp. sw-2-3(2011). RNAcentral describes it as "bacterial SSU rRNA". It matches the Rfam family "Bacterial small subunit ribosomal RNA", at positions 33 to 1049 of the family's 1533-position model. The record is from RNAcentral. Lineage: Bacteria; Pseudomonadati; Pseudomonadota; Gammaproteobacteria; Moraxellales; Moraxellaceae.